GGAGUUGUAGCUCAGUGGUAGAGCACUUGCCUUGCAUGUGUGAGGCCCUGGGUUCAAUCCUCAGCACCA
Molecule: transfer RNA, 69 nt
Filed under: Ictidomys tridecemlineatus (thirteen-lined ground squirrel)
Lineage: Eukaryota; Metazoa; Chordata; Mammalia; Rodentia; Sciuridae
Description: Spermophilus tridecemlineatus (thirteen-lined ground squirrel) tRNA
Rfam family: tRNA
About the family: Transfer RNA (tRNA) molecules are approximately 80 nucleotides in length. Their secondary structure includes four short double-helical elements and three loops (D, anti-codon, and T loops). Further hydrogen bonds mediate the characteristic L-shaped molecular structure. tRNAs have two regions of fundamental functional importance: the anti-codon, which is responsible for specific mRNA codon recognition, and the 3' end, to which the tRNAs corresponding amino acid is attached (by aminoacyl-tRNA synthetases). tRNAs cope with the degeneracy of the genetic code in two manners: having more than one tRNA (with a specific anti-codon) for a particular amino acid; and 'wobble' base-pairing, i.e. permitting non-standard base-pairing at the 3rd anti-codon position.
Source: Rfam by way of RNAcentral